ACCGGAUACACGCGGAUCGGCAGGAGCGGGAGACCCAGGCAAGACGGACCACGAUGGCGGUGGUCCUAGGGGUGAAGCCACAUGGUGGCCGGGCAACUUUGUCAGCCCGAACCCGACAGGUCAUCUUUCGCAGGCGGAUGACGAAGGGCUUA
Non-coding RNA from Streptomyces mobaraensis, 152 nucleotides. NCBI's taxonomy places the organism in Bacteria, Bacillati, Actinomycetota, Actinomycetes, Kitasatosporales, Streptomycetaceae. The record is from Rfam.